RNAcentral lists this non-coding RNA (91 nucleotides) under bovine gut metagenome. The record is from RNAcentral.
UUUGCUAGGGGAGCAUCGGCUGAGAAGGAUUUUUUUAAUAUCUGACCCUCAUUACUUGAACCGGGUAAUACCGGCGUAAGGAAGCAGUUUA